UACGGAGGGGGCGAGCGUUGUUCGGAGUUACUGGGCGUAAAGCGCACGUAGGCGGUGCGGUAAGUCAGGGGUUAAAGGCUGCAGCUCAACUGCAGUAAGGCCUUUGAUACUAUCGUGCUAGAGUGUGAGAGAGGAUGGCGGAAUUCCCGGUGUAGCGGUGAAAUGCGUAGAUAUCGGGAGGAAGGCCGGUGGCGAAGGCGGCCUCCUGGGCCUGCACUGACGCUGAGGUGCGAGAGCGUGGGGAGCAAACAGG
RNAcentral lists this ribosomal RNA (253 nucleotides) under uncultured microorganism. RNAcentral's name for it is "partial 16S ribosomal RNA". It matches the Rfam family "Bacterial small subunit ribosomal RNA", at positions 524 to 776 of the family's 1533-position model. The record is from RNAcentral.